RNAcentral lists this long non-coding RNA (3221 nucleotides) under Oryza sativa Indica Group (long-grained rice). Its description in RNAcentral is "lncRNA OsMH63_04G004790". The record is from RNAcentral. Lineage: Eukaryota; Viridiplantae; Streptophyta; Magnoliopsida; Poales; Poaceae.
GCAAAGAGCCUCUUCCCCGUCCCCUCCCCUUCUCCUCUUCGCCCCCGCAUCCCCUCCCCUCCUCGGCCUCCCCUCUGCGUCGCCGCCGUCCUCUGCCGCCGCCGCCGUCCGUGUCUCCUGUAUUCCUCCUCCCUUUGUGUAUUGUCUGCCCAAUCUCUGGAAUCGACAAGGUUUGGUGGUGCAACCCGCUCCGUCUCACGGCCGUCGGCCGGCUGCCUCUCGUCGCUCCACCACCCCGUCCCGCCGAUUUUCCGCCUCGGCCUGGUGUGCUCGAUUCGGCAGUUCGGGGCUCGAGAUCGACGUCUCCAUCCAGGUUUACUGAGGGCGCAGGGUGUCGAUGUGCAGCCCGAGGAAUCGCAUAUCCGAAGGGGAAUCGAAAUUAGGGUUUCCCUCUACUCGCCGCCGAUGAAGGGGGGACGCUUGCACCGUCUGGAGCGGCCGCCCGCCGCCCACACCACCGCCACCACGCCCGCCCCGGCGCCCGCCGAUGAUUGGGGGGAUGGCUCGUGGACGGUGGACUGCUCGUGCGGCAUCACGUACGACGACGGGGAGGAGAUGGUGAGCUGCGACGAGUGCAACGUCUGGGUGCACACGCGGUGCGCCCGCUACGUCCGCGGCGUGCACAUCUCUUUCUCGUGCCACAACUGCAAGGCCAAGCGCGCCCCCUCCUCCGCCGACGAGGCUGAGGUCGCCGAGCUCCUGGCCGAGCUGCCCACCCACCGCCCACGGCCGUUGUACCGCCGAUGGGCUGAAGUCCCUCUCCCCUCCCGCGUCCAUGUCCACGGGCUUCCAGGCGGUACAGACACCGCCCUAUUCCGCAGCGCCGCACCCUCCCCUGUAUUCUCGUCCACCCUAUGGCGCUGUGCUGGCUACGUCCCCAAGAGAUUCGGCUUCCGCUACUGCGAAUUCCCCUACUGGGCUGAUGACAAGGACGGUGCCAACGCUCUAUUUGCGCUGGCUAGAGAGAAGCGCAAGGAAAAGGCAGAGACUAGGUUCCCUCUCCGCCUUGGAGCCGUACACAAGGACAAGAAUUAUGUCAGGACGCUGAGCAUUUGCGGCGAUAAGGUGGAUGGCGUUGAGCACUCUGUGGACGAUGACGCAAAGAGGACAUCUCCACCAAGUGAUGCAAAGAAGAGAGGAACAUCCAUUAGCAUUGUAGAGCCUGAUACUUGGGACAAUGGUUGUGAGAAGAAAAGGGAUUUUGAUGUGCCAGAUAGUGAUGAUCAGCAUGCCAAAACAAACAUGGUAAAUUCUGAUUUGCACGUGCUUGUUGAAGCUAAGAAGAAGAGGGCUUCAUCCUCAGAACGAAGUGGGGAUAAGAAGUGCUCUGCCUCGAAGGAAAUUACUGGGAUGCUAAAGAAAUAUGAACCUAAGGAGUCCAAGCGAUUGGUGAUAUCCUCAGGAGUUGCAACAACGGCAGCUGUAGCAGAGCAAGAAGUGCACUCACGAUUUGUGAAGGGUAGCGUGUAUGAAGGACUAGACGGGAAUCAAAAUGUAGGUUUACAGACUGGAGUAAGAUCGAAUGGAGUUGUGAAAAGGGAUGAUGUCAAACGAUCAAAUGGAGAUGUCCAGAGUGAUGCUGCUCCUGAGAAAAUGAACGAGGGUCUGGAUCUUCAGAAGCAAUCAAAUCAAACUUCAAAUCUUCUGGUUGUUGUUGGUGUACCGGAUUUACAGACUAACCAGUCAGAAUCAUUGACUAUCAAGAGUGAAGCAUCUACAGACAAUCAUGAGAGAACCGAGGCUAUCCAGUUUGUAAGUGAUGAGCGUAAAAGUGGAAAACAAGAUACUGCAAAGUUAUCAACCCUUCAGAGGCAUUCGUCCAAGUUAGCAUCUGACUUAGUUUAUCAACAUCCAAAGUCUGAAACACAAAAUCCGAUGCACACAAUACCAGAGCAUCCAAACUCAAGUUUAGAACCAUCAUCAGAAGAAACUACUGUUCGUUUGGUAAAGAAGGAUCAGACAAGGUUGGUCUCAUCCGCUGACAGCGAAAAUGAUUUUGCAAAAAAAUCUGAGAGUUCCCAGGAUCGCACAAGAUCCUCUGAUAAAGUUCAAUUGAAAGGCUUUGUUCCGUCUGCGCCAAAAUCAUCUCAAGGAAGUAGAACAUAUGUAUCUUCUGCCAAAAAUAGAUUUAUAGUGCCAAAGGAGCAGUCGCAAAAGACAUCAACUGAAGGAAACGCUCCACCAGGGUCAUUACAAGGUGAAGUGGCGCCCUUACAUUCUCGUAAUAAGGCAAUGCCUUUGAGCUUUUACCAAAGAAAGGACAAGAUCCACCACCGCUCUAUUCAUAUCACACAGGACACUUCCAAUAGUUCAGCAUCGGCUGAGCUGCAAUCUACUGAAACAACAGCUUCAUUGAGCGAUGAACAGCUUGCAUUGUUAUUACAUCAACAAUUGAACAGCUCCCCCAGAGUACCAAGGACAGGAAAGGUGUCUAGUGUUGAACGGAGGCAUAGAGAUAGUAGCACAGAACGUGUCCUUGCUGCAAAAGACUCAUGCAAAUUUACUGAAAAUAUAGAAUCAGAACAGAGAAAUCGUGGCAUUUGUUCAACUGGAGCCAUCUCUGGCGUAGGAAAUGAUGCUCCAAUAGAUAGAGGUGUUUCACAUGAUUUACCUGGGUUGAUUGAGGAAAUCAUUAGCAAAAAUACAAACAUAACAUAUGGUGAACUGUGCAACGCUAUUCGCCAGCAUUGGGGGGAUUUAAGUAAACCCAACGUGGAAAACAAUGCAUACCCCAACUAUUUACAUGCUGUUAACGAUUGUCUUAGGAACAGGAAUGACUGGGCUCACCUUGUUGACCAGGCUGCAAUGAUGAAUCCAAACAAGCGCCGGAAGGUAGAGGAAAGUGACUCUUUGUCAGCAGAUGUACUGGCAACCGAGAAGACAAAUAAAGAGGCUAAAAGGGGUCCAGAAGACACAAAUGCUGAAUCACACCAUGAAAUUCUGCCAAGGGGCAAACGCAAGGCUCGGAAAUGCAGGCGUCUUGAACUGAAAGGGAGGAGAGUCAACGAUACGAGGAAGAGAUCUAGCUUUGAUUCGGCCUCUGAUGAUGAUGAUGAUACCACCUUGUCGGAUUCCAGUAGUGACAGAAAUGACACCCCUAUGGAUAAGAGCCUAGAAGAUAGUUUUGUUAUAGCUAAGAAUGCAGAUUCAAGUUCAUAGAGGUGGUUCACUGCAGUGCUGCUGGCAAUACAUUCGAAUGAAACGGAAUCCAGUGAUUUUGG